CGGCGGGGGCGCGCAUGCGCGGGGGGGCGCGCAGGCUCUUGGAGGCAGGCGGGGGCUGUGGUUUCGCAGACCUCGUGGCGCAACGUGACUUCACUGCUGGUUGCCAUGGAAGUUCCGAUGUCACAGUGAUCACGGAUGCCGUAUCGCAGGGUGAGGGCUUCCAGGAAAGGAGCACCCCUUAACACCUCCCCAGCCAUCGGAUUCCACCUGGCCAUGUGAAGAGCUGUGCAUUUGGAAGAGAUGGCCGAGACUACAACUGACAUGCUGAUACAACGGCCGGAAGAAAGAGCAGAUGAGCACAGCCCAGAGAAAGUCAACAUGCAAA
This 325-nucleotide long non-coding RNA is filed under the name Anas platyrhynchos platyrhynchos (common mallard). RNAcentral's name for it is "lncRNA (ENSAPLG00000005261.2)". The record is from RNAcentral. Lineage: Eukaryota; Metazoa; Chordata; Aves; Anseriformes; Anatidae.